GUGUCAGCCGCCGCGGUAAUACGUAGGGCCCGAGCGUUAUCCGGUAUUAUUGGGCGUAAAGAGUACGUAGGCGGUUAUGCAAGACAGUGGUUAAAUCCCCGGGCUCAACCCGGAAAUCGCCACUGUGACUGCGUAACUUGUCGUUAGCAGGGGCAAGCAGAAUUCUCGGUGUAGGAGUGAAAUCCGUUGAGAUCGAGAAGAAUACCAAUGGCGAAGGCAGCUUGCUAGGCUAUUUGAGACGCUGAGGUACGAAAGCGUGGGUAGCGAACGGGAUUAGAAACCCCUGUAGUCC
This 292-nucleotide ribosomal RNA is filed under the name uncultured bacterium. RNAcentral describes it as "partial 16S ribosomal RNA". It matches the Rfam family "Bacterial small subunit ribosomal RNA", at positions 505 to 796 of the family's 1533-position model. The record is from RNAcentral.